CUACAGGCUUAACACAUGCAAGUCGAGGGGAAACGAUAGAGAAAGCUUGCUUUUUCUAGGCGUCGACCGGCGCACGGGUGAGUAACGCGUAUCCAACCUGCCCAUCACUUGGGGAUAACCUUGCGAAAGUAAGACUAAUACCCAAUGAUAUCUCAAGAAGACAUCUGAAUGAGAUUAAAGAUUUAUCGGUGAUGGAUGGGGAUGCGUCUGAUUAGCUUGUUGGCGGGGUAACGGCCCACCAAGGCUACGAUCAGUAGGGGUUCUGAGAGGAAGGUCCCCCACAUUGGAACUGAGACACGGUCCAAACUCCUACGGGAGGCAGCAGUGAGGAAUAUUGGUCAAUGGACGAGAGCCUGAACCAGCCAAGUAGCGUGCAGGAUGACGGCCCUAUGGGUUGUAAACUGCUUUUAUAAGGGAAUAAAGUGAGUCUCGUGAGACUUUUUGCAUGUACCUUAUGAAUAAGGACCGGCUAAUUCCGUGCCAGCAGCCGCGGUAAUACGGAAGGUCCGGGCGUUAUCCGGAUUUAUUGGGUUUAAAGGGAGCGUAGGCCGGAGAUUAAGCGUGUUGUGAAAUGUAGACGCUCAACGUCUGCACUGCAGCGCGAACUGGUUUCCUUGAGUACGCACAAAGUGGGCGGAAUUCGUGGUGUAGCGGUGAAAUGCUUAGAUAUCACGAAGAACUCCGAUUGCGAAGA
RNAcentral lists this ribosomal RNA (694 nucleotides) under uncultured organism. RNAcentral describes it as "bacterial SSU rRNA". It matches the Rfam family "Bacterial small subunit ribosomal RNA", at positions 40 to 721 of the family's 1533-position model. The record is from RNAcentral.